Amblyraja radiata (thorny skate) is the source of this 64-nucleotide long non-coding RNA. RefSeq lists it as uncharacterized. The record is from RefSeq and is a predicted model, not a curated record. The transcript has 3 exons. NCBI's taxonomy places the organism in Eukaryota, Metazoa, Chordata, Chondrichthyes, Rajiformes, Rajidae.
CUGCUAACAUCCCUCACAACCUUUCUGACCUUUUGGGUUUUAAGCAGCAGGUCAUACACAAAGU